UACGUAGGGUGCAAGCGUUAAUCGGAAUACUGGGCGUAAAGCGUGCGCAGGCGGUGAUGUAAGACAGAUGUGAAAUCCCCGAGCUCAACUUGGGAACUGCAUUUGUGACUGCAUCGCUGGAGUGCGGCAGAGGGGGGAUGGAAUUCCGCGUGUAGCAGUGAAAUGCGUAGAUAUGCGGAGGAACACCGAUGGCGAAGGCAAUCCCCUGGGCCUGCACUGACGCUCAUGCACGAAAGCGUGGGGAGCAAACAGG
This 253-nucleotide ribosomal RNA is filed under the name uncultured bacterium. RNAcentral's name for it is "partial 16S ribosomal RNA". It matches the Rfam family "Bacterial small subunit ribosomal RNA", at positions 524 to 776 of the family's 1533-position model. The record is from RNAcentral.